Molecule: small nucleolar RNA, 32 nt
Filed under: Brugia malayi
Lineage: Eukaryota; Metazoa; Nematoda; Chromadorea; Rhabditida; Onchocercidae
Description: RNA transcript Bm16750
Source: RNAcentral
UAACAAUAUCGCUAGCUGAUGUUUUGAUUAAU